GCCAGUAUGGUGUAGUGGUUUGAGCAUUGGACUUUAAGUCUGGAGACCAGGGUUCAAAUCCUAGCUUGGGCA
This is a non-coding RNA of Phrynosoma platyrhinos (Desert horned lizard), 72 nucleotides long. The record is from the annotation of a GenBank genome assembly. Lineage: Eukaryota; Metazoa; Chordata; Lepidosauria; Squamata; Phrynosomatidae.